UGGGGAAUAUUGGACAAUGGGCGCAAGCCUGAUCCAGCAAUGCCGCGUGAGUGAUGAAGGCCUUAGGGUUGUAAAGCUCUUUCGCACGCGACGAUGAUGACGGUAGCGUGAGAAGAAGCCCCGGCUAACUUCGUGCCAGCAGUCGCGGUAAUACGAAGGGGGCUAGCGUUGUUCGGAAUUACUGGGCGUAAAGGGCGCGUAGGCGGCCUGUUUAGUCAGAAGUGAAAGCCCCGGGCUCAACCUGGGAAUAGCUUUUGAUACUGGCAGGCUUGAGUUCCGGAGAGGAUGGUGGAAUUCCCAGUGUAGAGGUGAAAUUCGUAGAUAUUGGGAAGAACACCGGUGGCGAAGGCGGCCAUCUGGACGGACACUGACGCUGAGGCGCGAAAGCGUGGGGAGCAAACAGGAUUAGAUACCCUGGUAGUCCGCGCCGUAAACGAUGAAUGCUAGACGUCGGGGUGCAUGCACUUCGGUGUCGCCGCUAACGCAUUAAGCAUUCCGCCUGGGGGAGUACGGCCGCAAGGUUAAAACUUAAAGGAAUUGACGGGGUCAUAGCUGUUUCCU
This 561-nucleotide ribosomal RNA is filed under the name uncultured bacterium. RNAcentral's name for it is "partial 16S ribosomal RNA". It matches the Rfam family "Bacterial small subunit ribosomal RNA", at positions 355 to 1375 of the family's 1533-position model. The record is from RNAcentral.